This is a long non-coding RNA of Megalobrama amblycephala (Wuchang bream), 7460 nucleotides long. RefSeq lists it as uncharacterized. The transcript is spliced from 17 exons. The record is from RefSeq and is a predicted model, not a curated record. Lineage: Eukaryota; Metazoa; Chordata; Actinopteri; Cypriniformes; Xenocyprididae.
AUGGAAUUCAAAGAUUCAAAUCCUCGUGUUGUGUUUGCAGCACUUAAAAUCUUCAACCAACCCACACCAGACGGAGUUCAGCUAUCACUACAACUCCACCCCUCCAAACCCGAAGCAGACAUGAAGACGUCAAGCGUCCCCGGUGUGUUUAGUUCUUUGUUGAGCUGUGGCACUGAGGCAGGAGGAGGCUGCUGACUAUCUACAAGAGACUGACAGAAAUGCAAAACAUCUGCGUAUCUGUCAGGAAAUAUUGAUUAAUCCCGACCAAUUAAACACUGGGUUUUCUGCUGUUGUCAGAAGAGUGCGCUGAUAAGAUCGAGAUUUCACUUCAGUGCUAUAGGCUGUAAACACAGAUAAACACGAAGGUGAAAAGUUGAACAUUUGGAAGAGUGAUGAUGUCAAGAUGAAAAAAUGAUCGUCUUCAGACCUCUGGGAAUGAUAUUUCAUCAUUCAUCUUGAAGGAUUCUGGAAAUCUCUCAGUUCAGGCGUGGCACAGUGGGAACAUCAGUAAUUUGGGUGAAAGGUCUCGCUCAGGAUGGAAUGAAAGUAUGUACCGGCACGUAGAGGAGAGGAGGCAGGAGGUGGGUGAUGAGGUAAUGACAGAUUUUCCCAGGUGACACAUCGAGCAGCGUCUCACCGACAUCUGCCACAGCAUGUUCUCGCACCCGCGCCCAAACUCUGCUGUCUUCAGAUCAUUGCGGGGUGUACGUGAUUGAUGCUGGACGCGGCUCCAGCUGGCCUCCUCAGUGUGUCCAGAAUAAUGCCGCCCUAAAUGGACAAAAAAGAUAUUCCCUGGAGAACCGAGAUAAGCUACAGAUAGACGGGUAGAUAGAGGGGAAAGAGAGGGAGAUCGCUUCAGAGACAAGGGCAGACACCCACCCGCACGCUCGGCCAGACUGGAGGUCGUAAUGCAAAGACUGGUGGGGCGUGAUCAGAGAGGAAAUGAUAGCUUCAUUUGUAUAGUGGAGACAGGGAGGCUCUGUAUUGCGGUGGAUAGAGAGCUGGAAGCAACGGAUGAGCUCAGCGUCCCCUUCACAAGGGGAACAUGAGGACUUUUUUAGCCGAUCCUGGAAGAUCUGGAAAAAAGGUACGAGUUUGGAACGACAUGAAGGUCUCAGAGGGGGGUGGACGCGUCCUUCAUGCCUAAAACAACGGGAGCUCUGUGUGGUUUGGGUGAUGGUGUGAUUGUUUGAACAAACAGCCUGCCCCACUGCACAUUUUUAAUGCAUCGCCUCUGUUCCAGUGCAGCUGUCUUUGGAUCUUUCCAAAAUUUGGAUCAGGUGAUGUUGAGACAUCACCAUCAAAUGUGGCAGAGAGGACAUCAAACUAGAAUGUGAAUGUACCGUCAACACAAGCCUGCACUUUGAUCCACUGGUUUAUGAUACAGUUAUUUUGCAAAUGCCUUGGGUUCUUUUUUCCAUAUGAAAGAAUGGGAUUGAAUACUUUCGAGCUCAAAAAACACUUAGGAAGCUGUAUUAGCAUUACUGAGCCGCAGCGCCGCGGGAUCAGAGAGGCUUUGUCCUGUGAGGCGUGAGGGUCGCGCAGGUAGGAGAGAGACGCGGCCUGACCCCAGACUACAGGGCAGCGGGGACACAAUCUGCUCGGAGGCCCACUCCUGUGCUCACCGGACGAGAAGGCUGCGCUGUGAAGAUACCGCAGUGUCCCGGGGAGAGAUGGGAAGUAACACGGACAAAGGAAAGUUUGUAAAGAAAGGAAGAUGGGAGGAUCUGGAGACAAAAAGAGAAAAUGCAUCAUCACUGUCAUCUUUUGAAGCCUCAUGCAAACAAUGCCGGACUGAAUGCGUGAUAUUGUGACACUCGUUCACUCAGAAUGCGGCUGUUCGGAGAGCAAAUGACAUUACUUCCUGCAGUCAUCACGUUGAGAGAUGAAGCCGAGGACGACAUGGAAUGAAGUUAGACGCCUCAAAUGUCACUGAAAAAUGAAAGGGCAUGAGAGAGAGAGCUGCUGUGAGAAUGAAAAAGCUAGCCAAACAGGUGUGUUCAGAGACCAUGUGAUGCAAUAAACAGUAAACCAGCCUGUCAUUCUCAGCAUUCUUCACACGGCUCAACUGCCUUUGAGAACCACCUGACAUUGAGCCCCUCGUGAUCAACGCUCUUCAUCUGAGAGAAACGUGAGGUCAGCGUUCCUCCAGCACCAGAUGCUCAGGUCCUGCAGAUGAAGAGGGCCGGAGAGAUCUGCAUCAGGAUAAAGUGAUCUCGACUCAAACGCCUGUUUCAGAAGUCUGAAAUCAUGUUACUGAAAUCAUGCUACAGAGAUCAUGUUACUGCUCACACUGUCUCUUCUCUUCUGAGUGAUUAAUCCCGUUCUCUACAUGGACACAGUUUAGUUAUUUAUGGAUGAACUCAUAAUGGUUGACAUAGUGUUAACCUUAGCAAAGUUUUGGCAUCUUGUGGCUGUAACUAUGACACAAAAUGUAAAAAUUCAAACCCUUUUGGAAAGAUAAAUCCCAUUCUAGGCUGAUUUAUAUGUUAUUUCCUAAAACACCUUAGCAACCACUUAUAUGCUACAUAGCAACCUCAUGAACACCCUAGCAACCACCUAGCAACCUCCCAGAACAUCAUAGCAACUACCUACCAACCACAUAGCAACCUCUCAGAACACCAUAGUAGCUACCUUGCAACCUCUCAGACCACCAUAGCAACUACCUAGCAACCACAUACCAACCUUUCAGAACAUCAUAGUAGCUACCUAGCAACUGCAUGGCAAGCUCUCAGAACACCAUAGCAACUGCCUAGCAACCUUUUAGAACACCAUAGUAGCUACCUAGCAACCGUAUAGCAACCUCUCAGAAUACUAUAGCAACUACCAAGCAACCAUAUACCAACCUCUCAGAGCACCAUAACAACUACCUAGCAACAACACAGCAACCUCUCAGACCACCAUAGCAACCACCUAGCAACCUCUCAGAAUACCAUAGCAACUACCUAGCAACCACAUACCAACCUCUCAGAACACCAUAGAAGCUACCUAACAACUGCACAGCAACCUCUCAGACCACCAUAGCAACUACCUAGCAACCACCUAGCAACAUCUGAGCAGCAUAGCAACUACCUAGCAACAACAUACCAACCUCUCAGAACACCAUAGAAACUACCUAACAACUGCACAGCAACCUCUCAGACCACCAUAGCAACCACCUAGCAACCUCCCAGAAUACCAUAGCAACUACCUAGCAACCAUAUACCAACCUCUCAGACCACCAUUGCAACUACAUAACAACCUCUCAGAACACCAUAGAAACUACCUAACAACUACACAGCAACCUCUCAGACCACCAUAGCAACUACCUAGCAACCACCUAGCAACCUCUCAGAGCACCAUAGCAACUACCUAGCAACAACAUACCAACCUCUCAGAGCACCAUAGCAACCACCUAGCAACCUCGCAGAGCACCAUAGAAACUACAGUACCUAGCAACUCUAUUGCAACCUCCAAGAGCAUCCUAGCAUAUUUUGGCAUCUGGCGACAAGACUAAUGUAAAAAAUGUGAAAAUUCAACUACUUUUUGGAUGGAUAAGUCCCACUCUAGGAUGAUUUAUGUGUGUUUUUAUGUCUGUCUCUGAAGUGGUUGAAAUCUACCAACACGUCUCGAGCUGUUCAGUCAACGGCGGCAGUAUAAGCAAUACAAGAUGAGAAAAGCGUGGGAUCUCGGCUUCCGUUGCGAGCCUGACAGGUGCUCUUAAUGAACGCACCGGCGUGCAUUUUCUCUAACAGGAAGUCAGAUCAGCUGAGAGCAGCGCUGAGGAAAAGAGCCCGUCGUGGUGCAGGGUGAGAGUAAUGAUGUUUUGAUUGCUGUCGUUUGAUACUGGAGCAGAUAUCUUCCCGUCCUUCCCUCCCAGAACCGUGUCUUCCCGAGUCUCAGCUGAUCUCUUCAAACGGUUGUAAAUCACAGCUGGCGCUCGUCCAGUUUCAUCCCCACAAUGCUGCUCAUAAUUACUCUUCCUGCAUUAGUAGAUUCAGAGGAUUUUAAUGGGCUCAGUGCAACAGGAAGUAAAGAGUCAUCUUGAAAUAAUGACCCGGACUGGAAGAGGUAUUUGGUUGAACUUGUAAGGGAUUUUUCCCGAAAUUCAAUCAGAGUUACUGACGUCAACUGCAGUUUGAAUAAUGUCAAAGCAAUUUAUGUUGAUAUUUUAAUCAUAAGUAUAACUGCAGAGCAUUCUCUCAAAAUACCCUGGCAACCACCUAGAAGCAACAUAGCAACCUCCUGAACACCCCAGUAACCCCUCUAUCAGCUGCAUAACAACCUCCUAGGACAACCGUAACAACCACCUAGCAACCUCCCAGAACACCAUAGCAACCACUUAACAACCACAUAGCAAUUUCCUGAACCCCAUAGCAACCUCCUAGAACACUCUUGUAACCCCUUAGCAGCUACAUUGCAACUUCCCGAAAACCCUAGCAACAGCCUAGCAACCUCCUGGAACACCAUACAAACUGCCUAGCUACCGCAUAUCAACCUCCAGAUCACCCUAGCAACUGCAUAACAACUUCUCAACCUCAUAUACCUCAUAUCAACCUCCUGAACAACCCCAUUAUCAGCUGCAUUGCAACUUUUUAGAUCACCCUAGCAACUGUAUAACAAACUUUAGGAACACUAUGAACUAGUGGACUACAAACUACCUGGCAACUGCAUAGCAACCUCCCAGUUCACUAAAGCAACUUCCUAGCAACCGUGUAGCAACCUCUCAGUACACCAUAGCAUCCACAUAGCAACCUCCCAAAAUACAAUGGCAACCACUUAAAUGGUGCAUGCCAACCUCCUGAACAUCAUAGUAACCAUCUAUUGGCCGCAUAGCAACCUCUUAGAACACCCUAGCAACUGCAUAGCAACCUCUCAAAAUACCCUGGCAAACACUUAACUGCCACAUACAAACCUCCUGAACACCCUAGUAACCCCUCUAUCAGCCACAUAGCAACCUCUUAGAACACCCUAGCAACUGCAUAGCAACCUCUCAAAAUACCCUGUCAAACACUUAUUCAUAGGUUACCUCUUAGAACAACCCUAACAACCACCUAGCAACCUCCUAGAACACGCAUGUAACCCCUUAGCAGCCGCAUAGCAACUUCCUGAACACCCUAGCAACAGCCUAGCAACUGUGUAGCAGCCUCUCAGUACACCAUAGCAUCCACAUAGCAACCUCCCAAAAUACCGUGGCAACCACUUAAAUGGUGCAUGCCAACCUCCUGAACAUCAUGGUAACCAUCUAUCGGCCGCAUAGCAACCUCUUAUAACACCCUAGCAACUGCAAAAGCAACCUCUCAAAAUACCCUGGCAAACACUUAUCCACCACAUAGUAAUCUCUUAGAGCAACCCUAACAACCACCUAGCAACCUUAAAGAACACACUUGUAACCCCUUAGCAGCUACAUAGCAACUUCCUGAACACCCUAGCAACCUCCUGGAACACCAUACAAACUGCCUAGCAACUGCAUAACAACUUCUCAGAACACCACAGCAUCCACAUAGCAACCUCCCAAAAUAUCAUGGCAACCACUUAGCCACUGUAUAUCAACCUCCUGAAUACCCCCAUUAUCAGCUACAUUGCAACUUCUUAGUUGCGACUGUAUAGCAAACUUUAGGAACACCAUAUGAACUACCUGGCAACUACAUAGCAACCUCCCAGUUCACUAAAGCAACUUCCUACCAACCGCAUAGCAACCUCUCAGUACACCAUAGCAUUCACAUGCAACCUCCCAAAAAACCUCUCAUAAUACCCUGGCAAAUACUUAUCUGCUACAUAGUAACCUCCUAGAACAAUCCUAACAAACACCUAGCAACCUCUCAGAACACCAUAGCAUCCACAUAGCAACCUCCCAAAAUACCGUGGCAACCACUUAACUGGCACAUACCAACCUCCUCAACACCCUAGUAACCCCUCUAUCAGCCACAUAGUAACCUCUUAGAACACCCUAGCAUCCACAUAGCAACCUCUCAAAAUACCGUGGCAACCACUUAGAUGGUGCAUACCAACCUCCUGAACAACAUAGUAACCCAUCUAUCGGCUGCAUAGCAACUACAUAGCAACCUCUCAAAAUACCCUGGCGAACACUUAUCCACCACAUAGUAACCUCCUAGGACAACCCUAACAACCACCUAGCAACCUCCAAUAACACUUACAACAACCACUUAGCAACCGAAUAACAACCCCUCAGAACAACAUCCUAGCAACCAUUUGGAAUGCCUUGUUAACUGAGGCAGGUGAGUUUUCCACAGGUAUGAGCAGCGCUCACAUUUGCUUCAGAUAAUGUGUAAUCUUAUCCAAAUAUGUUUAGGGAUUUAUUAUAUGCUAAAUUGUAUGGAGUUAGCUGUGUGAAUGUAAAUUCAAAAAUCGAAUGAUUUUACUAAAUGCACAAUAUUGAACUGUGCAUGUGAAUUUAAAUUGUAAACUGUCACACACAGACUUCAAUCCCCAUAUAUCUGCACAAGUGUAGCAGCCAUACCUAUUAUUCAAUAUUCAUGCGUUUACUCAGGACUGAGCGUUUUACACAGUGUAUUACAGGCUCAUUUAAUAUGGAUGGGUUUAUUUUGAGGUUAAAGUGCUCCGAUCAAACUGAACUCGGCUUGGGAUGUGUGCUUAACACAGGAGGUUCAGAGCGGCGCACGGCAGUAAAAUUAACACUCGCCAAGAGCCAAAUGCGAGUAAAAAUGCAGCUCCAUACGCAACAAACUGAGAUGCACUGUGUAUUCUGACACCUUUCUAUCAGAACCAGCAUUAACUUCUAAAUUCUGUCACUACAUGUAAUUCUUUUUUUUUUUUUUUGACCAAAGCAAACUAUUCUUAGCUUAAUUGUAUUCAAAGCACGGCUUGAGUGUUCAUCAAGCAACAGUUUAUGAUUAUGCAGCAUGUGUCUGAUGGAAGAUGCCCAUAGGAUCCGCUGCGUUAGCAGGGAAAGAGUCUGUCUGCCGGAAUCUGUGUGGACAGAUUGCUUGAGGGAGGCUGCUAAUUUCCAAAGCUGUGUGCCUUGGAUUCAUUAGCUUAAAUCCGAGUCUCAAAGGAGAGCCAAAGUUUCUGUAACCACGCAAAUAUUAUCUGAAAAGAGCACGGUGAAGUAUCACAGCAAAUUCCCAGAGUCCCCUCAUUAAAAAUACCAUUAUGGGUUGUGAGAGAUGACAAAGGUGCUUAAAAACAGAUCUGCUACUGACAGUCAGUACUGAGUUAAUGAUGGGAGAGUCUCUCAUGUGCACACAAACAUUGGCUAUGUUCCGCAGAGCAAACUACCAUAUACUGUUUGUGCACAGCAUGCAAAUGUUCUGUAUGCAUGAAAUGAGCAGUUUAAAACAGAGCACACUGUUGCAUCUCAAUGCAAUGUGCUCAUCUUGAUUAAACUAUAAUGUUAUUUUAGUAUUGAGAUUUUAAUUUGAUAGAUUUAGUCAUUUAGUUGCUGUCAAAUUGAUUAAUCACAUCUAACAUAUAAGUUUGUAAUAUAUAACAAAACAUAU